This 341-nucleotide ribosomal RNA is filed under the name uncultured Methanobacterium sp. Its description in RNAcentral is "bacterial SSU rRNA". It matches the Rfam family "Archaeal small subunit ribosomal RNA", at positions 347 to 688 of the family's 1478-position model. The record is from RNAcentral. Lineage: Archaea; Methanobacteriati; Methanobacteriota; Methanobacteria; Methanobacteriales; Methanobacteriaceae.
CCUUUACAAUGCACGAAAGUGUGAUAAGGGAAUCCCCAGUGCUCACGUAUUGCGUGAGCUUUUGUCCAAGUGUAAAUAGCUUGGCGAAUAAGUGGUGGGUAAGACUGGUGCCAGCCGCCGCGGUAACACCAGCGCCACGAGUGGUAACCGCGAUUAUUGGGCCUAAAGCGUCCGUAGCAGGUUUGACAAAUCUUUUGUGAAAUUGUGCGGCUUAACCGUACAACGUGCAAGAGACACUAUCAAACUCGAGAUCGGGAGGAGUCAGAAGUAUUCCAGGGGGAGCGGUAAAAUGUUAUAAUCCCUGGAGGACUACCUAUGGCGAAGGCAUCUGACCAGAACGA